AUACAGAGGGUGCAAGCGUUAAUCGGAAUUACUGGGCGUAAAGCGCGCGUAGGCGGUUUGUUAAGUCGGAUGUGAAAUCCCCGGGCUCAACCUGGGAACUGCAUUCGAAACUGGCGAGCUAGAGUAUGGUAGAGGAUAGUGGAAUUCCGGGUGUAGCGGUGAAAUGCGUAGAUAUCCGGAGGAACAUCAGUGGCGAAGGCGGCUUACUGGCUCGAUACUGACGCUGAGGUGCGAAAGCGUGGGGAGCAAACAGGAUUAGAAACCCUUGUAGUCC
RNAcentral lists this ribosomal RNA (274 nucleotides) under uncultured bacterium. RNAcentral's name for it is "partial 16S ribosomal RNA". It matches the Rfam family "Bacterial small subunit ribosomal RNA", at positions 523 to 796 of the family's 1533-position model. The record is from RNAcentral.